UACGUAGGGUGCAAGCGUUAAUCGGAAUUACUGGGCGUAAAGCGUGCGCAGGCGGUUGUGUAAGACAGAUGUGAAAUCCCCGGGCUCAACCUGGGAACUGCAUUUGUGACUGUAGAGCUGGAGUACGGCAGAGGGGGAUGGAAUUCCGCGUGUAGCAGUGAAAUGCGUAGAUAUGCGGAGGAACACCGAUGGCGAAGGCAAUCCCCUGGGCCUGUACUGACGCUCAUGCACGAAAGCGUGGGGAGCAAACAGG
This 253-nucleotide ribosomal RNA is filed under the name uncultured bacterium. RNAcentral's name for it is "partial 16S ribosomal RNA". It matches the Rfam family "Bacterial small subunit ribosomal RNA", at positions 524 to 776 of the family's 1533-position model. The record is from RNAcentral.